This 208-nucleotide ribosomal RNA is filed under the name Escherichia coli. RNAcentral describes it as "partial 23S ribosomal RNA". It matches the Rfam family "Bacterial large subunit ribosomal RNA", at positions 1 to 200 of the family's 2925-position model. The record is from RNAcentral. Lineage: Bacteria; Pseudomonadati; Pseudomonadota; Gammaproteobacteria; Enterobacterales; Enterobacteriaceae.
GGGUUGUGAGGUUAAGCGACUAAGCGUACACGGUGGAUGCCCUGGCAGUCAGAGGCGAUGAAGGACGUGCUAAUCUGCGAUAAGCGUCGGUAAGGUGAUAUGAACCGUUAUAACCGGCGAUUUCCGAAUGGGGAAACCCAGUGUGAUUCGUCACACUAUCAUUAACUGAAUCCAUAGGUUAAUGAGGCGAACCGGGGGAACUGAAACA